AGGACAAACGCUGGCGGCGUGCUUAACACAUGCAAGUCGAACGGUUCACCUUCGGGUGGAUAGCGGCGGACGGGUGAGUAACACGUAGUUGACCUGCCCCCUUGUGGGGAAUAACUCCUCGAAAGAGGAGCUAAUACCGCAUAAGUUCUUCUAUACAGGUAGAAGAGGAAAGCUCGUAAGAGCGCGAGGGGAGGGGACUGCGGCGGAUUAGCUAGAUGGUGGGGUAAUGGCCUACCAUGGCGACGAUCCGUAGCUGGUCUGAGAGGACGACCAGCCACACUGGGACUGAGACACGGCCCAGACUCCUACGGGAGGCAGCAGUGAGGAAUAUUCCACAAUGGGCGAAAGCCUGAUGGAGCGACGCCGCGUGAAGGAUAAGCCUUGGGUGUAAACUUCUUUUUGGGGAUGAACGUGGGGUAACCCACGUAAGACAGUACCCAAGAAUAAGCAUCGGCUAACUACGUGCCAGCAGCCGC
Molecule: ribosomal RNA, 476 nt
Filed under: uncultured bacterium
Lineage: Bacteria
Description: SSU rRNA
Rfam family: Bacterial small subunit ribosomal RNA
Source: RNAcentral